GCACCUCUUCACAACGGAUCGUUCGGCACGUACCUGCCGAUGGAGGACAAUAA
This 53-nucleotide non-coding RNA is filed under the name Gleimia europaea. Its description in RNAcentral is "msiK RNA". It matches the Rfam family "msiK RNA". Lineage: Bacteria; Bacillati; Actinomycetota; Actinomycetes; Actinomycetales; Actinomycetaceae. The record is from RNAcentral.